GACGAACGCUGGCGGCGUGCUUAACACAUGCAAGUCGAACGGAAAGGCCCUGUAUUUGUGGGGUGUUCGAGUGGCGAACGGGUGAGUAUCACGUGUGUAACCUGUCCUUGACAUUGGGGUACCUUCAGGAAACUGGGGCUCUUACCGGACAGGAGAUCCUGAUGCAUGGUGGGGGAUGGUAAGAUGCGGUGGUUCGGGAUGGACGCGCGGUUUAUCAGCUUGUUGGUGGGGUAGUGGCUUACCAAGGCGAUGACGGGUAGCCGGCCUGGGAGGGUGACCGGCCACAAAGGGCCUGGGAAAGGACCCAGAGGGCUACGGGAGGCAUCGAUGAAGAACAGUGCGCGAAGGGCGGAAGGAGGGAAGAACAAUGCCGCAUGCGGGAUGACGGCUGUUGGGUUGUAAACCGCGUGAGACUGGGACGAAGCGUGAGUGACGGUAAUGGGUAAGAAAGCACCGGCUAACUACGUG
This 468-nucleotide ribosomal RNA is filed under the name uncultured bacterium. RNAcentral describes it as "partial 16S ribosomal RNA". It matches the Rfam family "Bacterial small subunit ribosomal RNA", at positions 28 to 507 of the family's 1533-position model. The record is from RNAcentral.